AAAAACCGCAAUUACUUUUGC
RNAcentral lists this microRNA (21 nucleotides) under Macaca mulatta (Rhesus monkey). RNAcentral describes it as "mml-miR-548j-3p". Its record names the gene mml-miR-548j-3p. Lineage: Eukaryota; Metazoa; Chordata; Mammalia; Primates; Cercopithecidae. The record is from miRBase by way of RNAcentral.